GUGGAUUAGAUACCCUAGUAGUCCACACUGUAAACGAUGAAUGUUAGAUGUCGGGGAGGUUACUCUUCGGUAUCGCAGCUAACGCAUUAAACAUUCCGCCUGGGGAGUACGGUCGCAAGAUUAAAACUCAAAGGAAUUGACGGGGACCCGCACAAGCGGUGGAGUAUGUGGUUUAAUUCGAAGCAACGCGCAGAACCUUACCAACCCUUGACAUGGGACGUAUGAGCAUCAGAGAUGGUGUUCUUCACUUCGGGUGGCGUCCACACAGGUGCUGCAUGGCCGUCGCCAGCU
Molecule: ribosomal RNA, 291 nt
Filed under: uncultured bacterium
Lineage: Bacteria
Description: partial 16S ribosomal RNA
Rfam family: Bacterial small subunit ribosomal RNA
Source: RNAcentral